CCUUCUUUCCCCCGCUUUUUUCGGAUUUAUUGGGUUUAAAGGGCGCGUAGGCGGCCUGAUAAGUAGGGGGUGAAAUCCUGCGGCUUAACCGCAGGGCUGCCUUCUAAACUGUCAGGCUUGAGCACAGUAGAGGCAGGUGGAAUUCCCGGUGUAGCGGUGGAAUGCGUAGAGAUCGGGAAGAACAUCAGUGGCGAAAGCGGCCUGCUGGGCUGUUGCUGACGCUGAGGCGCGACAGCGUGGGGAGCAAACAGGA
RNAcentral lists this ribosomal RNA (253 nucleotides) under uncultured prokaryote. Its description in RNAcentral is "partial 16S ribosomal RNA". It matches the Rfam family "Bacterial small subunit ribosomal RNA", at positions 547 to 777 of the family's 1533-position model. The record is from RNAcentral.